UACGAAGGGGGCUAGCGUUGUUCGGAAUUACUGGGCGUAAAGCGCACGUAGGCGGAUCUUUACGUCAGGGGUGAAAUCCUGGAGCUCAACUCCAGAACUGCCUUUGAUACUGGGGAUCUCGAGUCCGGAAGAGGUGAGUGGAACUCCGAGUGUAGAGGUGAAAUUCGUAGAUAUUCGGAAGAACACCAGUGGCGAAGGCGGCUCACUGGUCCGGUACUGACGCUGAGGUGCGAAAGCGUGGGGAGCAAACAGG
Molecule: ribosomal RNA, 253 nt
Filed under: uncultured bacterium
Lineage: Bacteria
Description: partial 16S ribosomal RNA
Rfam family: Bacterial small subunit ribosomal RNA
Source: RNAcentral